GAAGUUCGUCAGGCAAUCGCUGCACGUUUUGGCGUGUGGAGGAAAGUCCGGGCCCCGCAGGGCAGGAUGCCGGCUAACAGCCGGGCGCCGCGAGGCGACGGAAAGUGCAACAGAGAAUAGACCGCCGAUGGCUUCCGCCAGGAAGAUCAGGUAAGGGUGAAACGGUGAGGUAAGAGCUCACCGCAGGACUGGCGACAGGACUGGCACGGCAAACCCCAUCCGGGGCAAGGCCAAAUAGGGGGGCGAUAGCGUGGCUCGCGCUGCUCCCGGGUAGGCUGCUUGAGCGUCGCGGCAACGCGUCGCCCAGAGGAAUGAUUGCCCGGCAGCCCUGGCAUGCCAGGGCUGCUCGACAGAACCCGGCUUAUCGACGAGCUUCCCGC
RNAcentral lists this RNase P RNA (380 nucleotides) under Zoogloeaceae bacterium. RNAcentral's name for it is "RNase P RNA component class A". It matches the Rfam family "Bacterial RNase P class A". From Rfam's summary of the family: Ribonuclease P (RNase P) is a ubiquitous endoribonuclease, found in archaea, bacteria and eukarya as well as chloroplasts and mitochondria. Its best characterised activity is the generation of mature 5'-ends of tRNAs by cleaving the 5'-leader elements of precursor-tRNAs. The record is from RNAcentral. Lineage: Bacteria; Pseudomonadati; Pseudomonadota; Betaproteobacteria; Rhodocyclales; Zoogloeaceae.